AACGAACGCUGGCGGCAGGCCUAACACAUGCAAGUCGAGCGCGCCCUUCGGGGUGAGCGGCGGACGGGUGAGUAACGCGUGGGAACGUGCCCUUCUCUGCGGAAUAGCCUCGGGAAACUGAGAGUAAUACCGCAUACGCCCUUUGGGGGAAAGAUGUAUCGGAGAAGGAUCGGCCCGCGUUGGUUUAGGUAGUUGGUGGGGUAAUGGCCGACCAAGCCGACGAUCCAUAGCUGGUUUGAUAGGAUGAUCAGCCACACUGGGACUGAGACACGGCCCAGCCUCCUACGGGAGGCAGCAGUGGGGAAUCUUAGACAAUGGGGGCAACCCUGAUCUAGCCAUGCCGCGUGAGUGAUGAAGGCCUUAGGGUUGUAAAGCUCUUUCAGCUGGGAAGAUAAUGACGGUACCAGCAGAAGAAGCCCCGGCUAACUCCGUG
Molecule: ribosomal RNA, 433 nt
Filed under: uncultured bacterium
Lineage: Bacteria
Description: partial 16S ribosomal RNA
Rfam family: Bacterial small subunit ribosomal RNA
Source: RNAcentral